Molecule: long non-coding RNA, 335 nt
Organism: Passer montanus (Eurasian tree sparrow)
Lineage: Eukaryota; Metazoa; Chordata; Aves; Passeriformes; Passeridae
Exons: 3
Source: RefSeq, a predicted model, not a curated record
GGAGGAACCGGCACCGGGACCGGGACCGAACGGGGCACAGGGGACAGAGCAAGGGACAGGCACGGCAGUUCCGGGCUACGGGCGCGCUGGCACAGAGCCCAGGGACCAGGCCAGCACAAGGGACAGGCCCCGCUGAGGCUCCGGGGGCGGCCGCGCUCCAGGCGCCGCGCGGACAGGAGCCGCCGCAGGGACGACGUGGAGCUCAGGUCCCCGCAGCUCUGCAGGGUGGCAGCUUGUUCUUCCCCACGGAGCCAGCCCGGAGCAGCGGAGGGGAGUCACAGUGGGAACGGUGGAGCAGGCAGGCCUCGGAGCACAGCCCUGGGGGGUGAGUGCCG